AUCACUAUCCUCCCGGUCUCUGCGCGCAUUGUUCUCUCAUUCCCAUCCAGAGAGAGCUGCUGAACACACCGAGAGGACCAGCCGGUGUGGGGAAACAGACAGAGAGUAGCGGACCCUCCGUCGCAGAAACGCCCGGGAGCCACAUGCAAAACUCGGUCUGCACACAGGAUACGCGGCACUCCGUAGUUACAUAACUGGACUACUUUUUUUCUAUUAUUGUUGUGGGUUUUUCACGCUUUUUUUUUUUUUUGCACAAUCCCCACCUAAAAUGGAGAACGACGAGAAAUAUCUCCCGGAGCUGCUGGCGGAGAAGGACAGCCUGGACUCGUCUUUUACGCACGCAAUGAAACUUUUAAACGCAGAAAUUGAUAGAAUCCAGAAAGACGAGACUAAAAAGGAGGCAGACGACUACCUGGACCUUUUCACAACAAAGAACAUCAAACUUAAGGAACGAGUGCUCAUACCUGUCAAACAGUACCCGAAGUUCAAUUUUGUGGGGAAGAUUCUGGGACCUCAGGGCAACACAAUCAAACGUCUGCAGGAAGAGACCGGGGCCAAGAUCUCCGUGCUGGGCAAAGGAUCCAUGAGAGACAAAUCUAAGGAGGAGGGGCUGAGGAAAGCUGGCGAGCCCAAGUACGCCCACCUGUCCAUGGAGCUGCACGUGUUCAUCGAGGUGUUCGCCCCCGUGCCCGAGGCCUACCUGCGCAUGGCCCACGCCAUGGAGGAGGUCAAGAAGUUCCUGUUUCCUGAUAUGAUGGAUGAUAUCUGCCAAGAGCAGUUCCUGGAGAUGGGCUACCUGAACGGAGGCCAGGAUCACGGGGCCAGAGGCAGAGGGGGCCCUCCGGUCAGGGGCCGUGGACUCCCCCCUGGUGGAGCACACAGGGGUCGGGGGAUGCCCCCUCGCGGAGCUCCCGCCCGGGGAGGUGUAGCUCGAGGCGGCCCAGCCAGAGGUGGCGCAGUGAGGGGCGUCCCAUCGGGGCGAGGAGGACCCCCAGUAGCACCCGCCAGGGGAGCCUCGGCACCCCGCGCCAGGCCCCCAGCUGCAGGACCCCCCCAUAGGAUGGCACAUCCACCCCCACACCAGCACACCCCCACUGCAGCCUCUGAGGGCUACGAGGAAUAUGGCUAUGAUGAGAGCUACACAGACACGGCCUACGAGUCAUACGACAGCUAUUACAGUCAGCCGCAGGCAGAGGCAGAGUACUACGACUACGGACACGGGGAGAGCACGGAGUCGUACGAGUCGUAUGGCCAGGACGACUGGAACGGGACCCAGCGAGCGUCCACAGGGAAGGCCCCGCCCCCCUCCAGAGGUGCCAAGACGCCUUACCGGGAGCACCCGUACCGACAGUACUGAAGCGGACGGACGCGCCGAAACCUUAACGCGUCGCCACGACAACCGCCUGUCUACCACGGCGGCUCUCGCUUUAAGCAGCCCGACAAAAGCACAGCUAUCGGUCACUGAGAGCCCGGAGACUGACAGUCUGCUGAAGUGAGACCAAACAAGCCUCAGGGAAGCCGUGCAUGGAGCAGCGCAGCAUGAAGGAGGCGGUCAGACGAGAGGCGCGACCCAAAGCCCCAGCUCUGUUUCUAGAAGGAAGGGGGUGGGGGGGGGGAGGGGGGUUCUGGUGGCCGGCUGCCAAGCGACCCACAGGAUGCAGCUGAUGAGGACGUGAGGAGAGGAGGCUGGGGAUCCAGAAUAACCAGAGACGUUUCAUGUGGACUAUUUUCUCCAUUUUCUCCAUGUUGAAUUACGAUGCAUCACAUGUGAUACUCUGAAGACACACACUUGAAGCUCCCUCUGAUGUCACGCUGCUUCUACAGACCACCCUCUCUUCCAACAAAUGUAAUUGUUCCAGCUAAAUUCACCAUAAAAUGAGUGCUCCUGUUUUAGCAUGCUGUGAAAUUGUUUUUAAUUUCUAUUAGCUCUUUGAUUCGACAUGGAAAAGAGUAUUUUUAUUUUCCGCAAGGCACGCUAAAUUCGUGCAGCAUCGUGUGCACGUGUAUUUUAUUAUUUUACAUUGCUUGUUAUUUGCUACCCGUGCCUUAUUGCAGCGUGAAAUUAGACUCUGUGUUCAGGAGUUAAAGAUGCCCGGAGAGUGUGGAUCACUAUCUCGCUCAGUACACACACACACACACACACACCCACACACACACUCUCACACACCACCACAUCUUGGCAUAGCACGGCCUGUCCAAGCCCUGAGGAUAUCAAAUGCUAAUGCAGCGGCCUUAUUUGCAUGUACUCACAUGUAGCCUCCCCGCAACACUUUCUCAAACAACGCUUGGCCCGCUCUCAGCGCGUCAGCAUCUAUUUAUGAUAAUAGAGCGAGACGGACUCGGGCGGAGAGCUGCAUGUGAGGAAGGGACAGAGGGUGAACACCGACAUUACUGACUUCCCUUCCAUCCAUCCAUCAUUCCUCUGUUGAUUUGAUUCCCUCUUUGCCAUUUUCUGCCAUUAUCACUGAUGAUAUUACGACUGCCUGUGGUGCAGAGUUACAUUUAGAGGUCAAAACUGUACUUUCCUAUAUUAAAAACACAUUUCUCUCCCCCGAUUCGCCGGUCAAAGGCUCCAUUUAGCUUAUUGAAAAAGCUAACAGCUCAGAAGAUUCAACAUUAGAUAUUAGGGUAGAAACCAUCAUGUGGAAUGAAACGUCAACAGGCCAUAUCCAAAACAGAUCAUUUUUCAGUCUUUAUGUGCUAUUAUGUCUAAAAUAAUGAUUUCUGUGUCUCCUAUAAUCUAAUGAAAGAUAAGUGAUGGUGGUGGAAGCCAUCUGCUUUGUUGGAAUCGAUGAACUGUCAAGAGCGGGAGGGUGGAAAAGAAAGUAAAUGUUGCUGUGCGGUGAUCAAUAAAAGUAGACUUGAAAAUGA
Molecule: RNA transcript, 2871 nt
Organism: Eleginops maclovinus (Patagonian blennie)
Lineage: Eukaryota; Metazoa; Chordata; Actinopteri; Perciformes; Eleginopidae
Gene: khdrbs1b
Gene name: KH domain containing, RNA binding, signal transduction associated 1b
Exons: 11
Source: RefSeq, a predicted model, not a curated record